UCUUAGCCGUAAACGAUGAGCACUAGGUAUGGGGUCCAUAGGGUUCUGUGCCGCAGUUAACACAUUAAGUGCUCCACCUGGGGACUACGACCGCAAGGUUGAAACUCAAAGAAAUUGACGGGGACCCGCACAAGCGGUGGAGCAUGUGGUUUAAUACGACGCUACGCGUGGAACCUUACCAGGGCUUGAAAAAUGCAUGAAAUCCCGAUGAAAAUCGGGACCUCCUUUCCGGGACAUGCAUACAGGUGUUGCAUGGCUGUCGUCAGCUCGUGUCGUGAGAUGUUGGGUUAAGUCCCGCAA
Molecule: ribosomal RNA, 300 nt
Filed under: uncultured bacterium
Lineage: Bacteria
Description: bacterial SSU rRNA
Rfam family: Bacterial small subunit ribosomal RNA
Source: RNAcentral